RNAcentral lists this ribosomal RNA (397 nucleotides) under uncultured bacterium. Its description in RNAcentral is "partial 16S ribosomal RNA". It matches the Rfam family "Bacterial small subunit ribosomal RNA", at positions 523 to 918 of the family's 1533-position model. The record is from RNAcentral.
AUACGUAGGGGGCGAGCGUUGUCCGGAAUGAUUGGGCGUAAAGGGCGCGUAGGCGGCCCGGUAAGUCUGGAGUGAAAGUCCUGUUUUUAAGAUGGGAAUUGCUUUGGAUACUGUCGGGCUUGAGUGCAGGAGAGGUAAGUGGAAUUCCCAGUGUAGCGGUGAAAUGCGUAGAGAUUGGGAGGAACACCAGUGGCGAAGGCGACUUACUGGACUGUAACUGACGCUGAGGCGCGAAAGUGUGGGGAGCAAACAGGAUUAGAUACCCUGGUAGUCCACACCGUAAACGAUGAAUGCUAGGUGUAGGGGGUAUCGACCCCUUCUGUGCCGCAGUCAACACAAUAAGCAUUCCGCCUGGGGAGUACGGCCGCAAGGUUGAAACUUAAAUGAAUUGACGGGG